AGCGAACGCUGGCGGCAGGCCUAACACAUGCAAGUCGAACGAACUCUUCGGAGUUAGUGGCGGACGGGUGAGUAACACGUGGGAACGUGCCUUUUGGUUCGGAAUAACUCAGGGAAACUUGUGCUAAUACCGAAUGUGCCCUUCGGGGGAAAGAUUUAUCGCCAUUAGAGCGGCCCGCGUCUGAUUAGCUAGUUGGUGAGGUAACGGCUCACCAAGGCGACGAUCAGUAGCUGGUCUGAGAGGAUGACCAGCCACACUGGGACUGAGACACGGCCCAGACUCCUACGGGAGGCAGCAGUGGGGAAUCUUGCGCAAUGGGCGAAAGCCUGACGCAGCCAUGCCGCGUGAAUGAUGAAGGUCUUAGGAUUGUAAAAUUCUUUCACCGGGGACGAUAAUGGCGGUACCCGGAGAAGAAACCCCGGCUAACUUCGU
This 432-nucleotide ribosomal RNA is filed under the name uncultured bacterium. RNAcentral describes it as "partial 16S ribosomal RNA". It matches the Rfam family "Bacterial small subunit ribosomal RNA", at positions 29 to 506 of the family's 1533-position model. The record is from RNAcentral.